This 279-nucleotide ribosomal RNA is filed under the name uncultured bacterium. RNAcentral describes it as "partial 16S ribosomal RNA". It matches the Rfam family "Bacterial small subunit ribosomal RNA", at positions 506 to 784 of the family's 1533-position model. The record is from RNAcentral.
UGCCAGCCGCCGCGGUAAUACGGAGGGGGUUAGCGUUGUUCGGAAUUACUGGGCGUAAAGCGCACGUAGGCGGAUUAGAAAGUUAGAGGUGAAAUCCCGGGGCUCAACCCCGGAACUGCCUUUAGAACUGUUAGUCUUGAGAUCGAGAGAGGUGAGUGGAAUUCCAAGUGUAGAGGUGAAAUUCGUAGAUAUUUGGAGGAACACCAGUGGCGAAGGCGGCUCACUGGCUCGAUAUUGACGCUCAUGCACGAAAGCGUGGGGAGCAAACAGGAUUAGAUA